Molecule: ribosomal RNA, 403 nt
Filed under: uncultured Armatimonadota bacterium
Lineage: Bacteria; Bacillati; Armatimonadota
Description: bacterial SSU rRNA
Rfam family: Bacterial small subunit ribosomal RNA
Source: RNAcentral
AGUUGGGAAUCUUGCACAAUGGGGGAAACCCUGAUGCAGCGACGCCGCGUGGAGGAUGAAGGAUCUAGGUCUGUAAACUCCUUUUGCACGGAAAGACUUAGGACGGUACCGUGCGAAUAAGCACCGGCUAACUACGUGCCAGCAGCCGCGGUAAGACGUAGGGUGCAAGCGUUGUCCGGAUUUACUGGGCGUAAAGAGCGCGUAGGCGGCUUGUUAAGUGUAGAGUGAAAUCUCUGGGCUCACCCCAGAAACUGCUCUGCAUACUGGCAAGCUUGAGUGAUGAAGAGGUUUGUGGAAUUCCUGGUGUAACGGUGAAAUGUGUUGAUAUCAGGAGGAACACCCAUGGCGAAGGCAGCAAACUGGUCAUCAACUGACGCUGAGGCGCGAAAGCGUGGGUAGCAAA